This 152-nucleotide non-coding RNA is filed under the name Phaseolus vulgaris (common bean). RNAcentral describes it as "rRNA LSU_rRNA_eukarya". It matches the Rfam family "Eukaryotic large subunit ribosomal RNA", at positions 1188 to 1339 of the family's 3401-position model. The record is from Rfam by way of RNAcentral. Lineage: Eukaryota; Viridiplantae; Streptophyta; Magnoliopsida; Fabales; Fabaceae.
CACAACAACACGCUAACCUAGACCGCACAAAGGGUGUUGGUCGAUUAAGACAGCAGGACGGUGGUCAUGGAAGUCGAAAUCCGCUAAGGAGUGUGUAACAACUCACUUGCAGAAUCAACUAGCCCCAAAACUAGAUGGCGCUAAAGCGCGCG